This 80-nucleotide transfer RNA is filed under the name Chloroflexota bacterium. Its description in RNAcentral is "Chloroflexi bacterium tRNA-Arg". It matches the Rfam family "tRNA". Rfam says of the family: Transfer RNA (tRNA) molecules are approximately 80 nucleotides in length. Their secondary structure includes four short double-helical elements and three loops (D, anti-codon, and T loops). Further hydrogen bonds mediate the characteristic L-shaped molecular structure. tRNAs have two regions of fundamental functional importance: the anti-codon, which is responsible for specific mRNA codon recognition, and the 3' end, to which the tRNAs corresponding amino acid is attached (by aminoacyl-tRNA synthetases). tRNAs cope with the degeneracy of the genetic code in two manners: having more than one tRNA (with a specific anti-codon) for a particular amino acid; and 'wobble' base-pairing, i.e. permitting non-standard base-pairing at the 3rd anti-codon position. RNAcentral also lists the same sequence under 1 other name. The record is from RNAcentral. Lineage: Bacteria; Bacillati; Chloroflexota.
GCGCCCAUAGCUCAGUCCGGAUAGAGCACUGGUCUACGGAACCAGGUUUUGCGGGGGUUCGAAUCCCUCUGGGCGCGCCA